AAACAUUCUCUUGAAACACACCAGUCUUCCCUCAGUAUACAUUGAAGGUGAUUCAGCUCAUUGACAACCAACGCUUCCUUCUUGCUAAGACUUACUUCUCUGCAGGCUCAGUUUAUCUUGAUUUACACAAUGUGUGUCCUCUACGAGGCCCUGCUCCUUGCUCUGUUGUCUGUGGGAACAGCAGCACAGGCCCCAGAGGAUGGUGGACAUCUGGUCAAACCGCUCGCACCGGAAGGCCAGCAUACUAUCUUCGGGAAGUGGGUUCUUCAUCAAGGGUUUCCUGGACCAUGAGAUGUUCAAUGCGAUACUGAGAAAGACCAACAGCUCCUGGAUUGAAUUCUUUACCAGUUCCCACAACAAGAUAGUCUGUCUCCUCCAGGGAGACCUGAUAGAAUAAUGUGACUUCCGCGGGACAUUUACUGCAAACCUAUCCUCUGUCUCGCCAUGCACAGCAGGAGCACCAUGGCCGGAGUGCAUAUCUGAUCUCUCUAUAUCUUUGGGAAGCCCAGGACACUGCCAGAGUCAGAGCUGAAGCAUUUCUGGAAAGCAGCAGAAUGCCUCCAGUAUCCUCCGCCUGCACAGUAUUCAUUAUUUACCCUAACCCUACCCUACUCAACAAAAGGGACACCAGGCAACAUUUAGUAUUGAUUUAGAAUGUUGUAAUUUAACAGACUAGAAUAGAUCUCUAUUGGCUGAGUCCUUGUGUGUUUAGAACCUUGUUAAAGUUUUCACUAACAUCUCCUCUCUUCUCUCUGCAGAAUUUGCGCUGAGAUAAAAGAGAGCUUGCGAAUUGCUGAAUCUCAAUAUAUAAUAUGGUUCACAGUAAUAUGGCUACUGAUGAUGAAAUGGUUGCAUGAAUAAAAUCAUUUGGACUCUAACAAAAAGUUGGUGCUUCCUGACAAUCCUUAGACAGACAGACAGACAGACAGACAGACAGACAGACAGACAGACAGACAGACAGACAGACAGACAGACAGACAGACAGACAGACAGACAGACAGACAGACAGACAGACAGACAGUAGUUUGUACACAGUGAGGUUGUUCAUUAGAAAAUGGGAUUCACAUUAAGGCCAAACACAAAGCUAAAUUUCCAUGCAUAACCUUGUACUAUGGUCCGUUACCAAAAACCAAACACAUAGAAGACAGCUGCUCUAGGAUUAAAUAAACACAAAAUGCAUUAAUCAUUAUCAAAGCAUUUCUGAGUUCCUGAACGCUGUCACGGUACCCAUGGUGGAAUCCAUAGCCCCAGGAUCAA
This is a long non-coding RNA of Oncorhynchus nerka (sockeye salmon), 1257 nucleotides long. RefSeq lists it as uncharacterized. The transcript is spliced from 4 exons. The record is from RefSeq and is a predicted model, not a curated record. Lineage: Eukaryota; Metazoa; Chordata; Actinopteri; Salmoniformes; Salmonidae.